CCUACGGGAGGCAGCAGUGAGGAAUAUUGGUCAAUGGACGAGAGUCUGAACCAGCCAAGCAGCGUGAAGGAAGACUGACCUAUGGGUUGUAAACUUCUUCUAUAAAGGAAUAAAACGAGGCAUGCGUGCCUAUUUGCCUGUACCUUAUGACUAAGGAUCGGCUAACUCCGUGCCAGCAGCCGCGGUAAUACGGAGGAUGCGAGCGUUAUCCGGAUUUAUUGGGUGUAAAGGGAGCGUAGAUGGGUUGGUAAGUCAGUAGUGAAAGUUUGCGGCUCAACCGUAAGAUUGCAAUGGAUACUGGGAGACUGGAGUACAGGUGAGGUAGGCGGAAUUCGUGGUGUAGCGGUGAAAUGCUUAGAUAUCACGAAGAACCCCGAUUGCGAAGGCAGCUUACUAAACUGUGACUGACAUUGAUGCUCGAAAGUGUGGGUAGCAAACAGGAUUAGAUACCCUGGUAGUC
This 460-nucleotide ribosomal RNA is filed under the name uncultured bacterium. RNAcentral's name for it is "partial 16S ribosomal RNA". It matches the Rfam family "Bacterial small subunit ribosomal RNA", at positions 338 to 795 of the family's 1533-position model. The record is from RNAcentral.